GUCUACAGCCAUGCCACCCUGAACAACCCCGAUCCCGUCUGAUCUUGGAAGCUAAGCAGGGUCAGGCCUGGUUAGUACUCAGAGGAGAGACCACCUAGGAAGACCAGGUGCUGUAGGCA
RNAcentral lists this ribosomal RNA (119 nucleotides) under Pteropus alecto (black flying fox). Lineage: Eukaryota; Metazoa; Chordata; Mammalia; Chiroptera; Pteropodidae. The record is from RNAcentral.